AUGGAACUAAAAUGGACUCAAAUUGAGUCUUUUAGCAUACAAUUCAGAUUUGGAUGUUAUCAACAACUUGUAUUUUGUCCUCGUCUUUUUAAUAAAUAAAAAAUGGUUGGUCUCAUUCAAUUUCUUAUUCAUCUACACAAAACUCAACCAUUCACUUUCUAAUAAACCCAAGUCCCUCAAUCUUAUCUUUAGCUUCUCUUCUAGCGGCUCUCACUCUCUCACAUACUCACAAACACCAAACACGGUCGAAUCAGAUCUACAUCUCCUUGAAUAUUUUAAAAGUUAAAAGCACGGUUAACAAUUUUAAUGUUCAUGGCUUCCUCAAGUUCUUCUUCCAGCACCAACUUAUUCGUUGCGGACCAUCCUGUGGGGGUUGAAUCUCGUGUACAAGAGGUUAUUCAACUGCUGAACACCGAACCAUCAGAAGAAACUCGAGUGAUUGGGAUAUGUGGUACUGGAGGGAUUGGCAAAACAACAAUUGCCAAAGCAGUUUAUAAUAAAAUCCAUCACCAUUUUGAGGCAAAGAGCUUCCUAUUAAAUGUC
This 543-nucleotide long non-coding RNA is filed under the name Medicago truncatula (barrel medic). RNAcentral describes it as "lncRNA gene40156". Lineage: Eukaryota; Viridiplantae; Streptophyta; Magnoliopsida; Fabales; Fabaceae. The record is from RNAcentral.